This is a long non-coding RNA of Hemiscyllium ocellatum (epaulette shark), 460 nucleotides long. RefSeq lists it as uncharacterized. The transcript is spliced from 4 exons. Lineage: Eukaryota; Metazoa; Chordata; Chondrichthyes; Orectolobiformes; Hemiscylliidae. The record is from RefSeq and is a predicted model, not a curated record.
GGUAAAGGCCAUUCCAAAAUGUGUCUUCUGGGAGUUAAAACAAAAUGGGAACACAGCUGAGGGUCACUGGAACGAUUCUGGCUGCACAACACAAAACACAGUCAAUGAAGUCAUCUGUCAAUGCAAUCACCUGACUUUCUUUGCUGUCUUGCUGCAAAUCGAUGGGAACCAACACUUGGAUGAGAAGACAUUGAGAUCGCUAACAUACAUCACCCAGAUUGGUUGUGGUGUUUCCGGCAUUUUCACAGCAAUUACUUUAAUCAUCCACUUUAUUCUCAGAAAAAGACAAAAGGAAGCUUCCAUCCAGAUCCACGUGAAUCUCUCUGCUGCCUUGUUUCUUCUCAAUGUGAGCUUCUUAACCAGCACAGUGUUCAGUUCCAAGAGCACUGAUGAGCUGUGUAAAGCCAUUGCUGCCCUGUUGCAUUACUCACUGCUUUGCAGUUUUACAUGGAUGGGAAUU